Molecule: long non-coding RNA, 1300 nt
Filed under: Salvia miltiorrhiza (redroot sage)
Lineage: Eukaryota; Viridiplantae; Streptophyta; Magnoliopsida; Lamiales; Lamiaceae
Description: long non-coding RNA (SMIL_LNC008207)
Source: RNAcentral
ACUGAACUGAACUGAACCCUAAACCCUAAAAACUAAACCCUAAACUCUAAAACCUAAACCCUAAACCCUAAACUCAAUCUAAACCCUAAACCCAACCUAAACCUAAACCCUAGUUGUGAAUUGUUACGAUUGUGAAUUCACAACUGAACUGAACUGAAACACUAAACCUUAAACCUAAACCCUAGUUGUGAAUUCACAACUGAACUGAACUGAAACUGAAACUGAACUGAACCCUAAACCCUAAAAACUAAACCCUAAACCCUAAACCCUAAACCCUAAACCCAAUCUAAACCCUAAACCCUAAACAGUCGAAUUCACAACAAGAAUUUUUUGGUUGUGUAUUUACAACCAAAAUUUAAUACAUAGCAAGAAUUUUUUGGUUGGGAACUCACAACCAGUAAAAUUCACAAUCAGAAUUUAAUUCACAACUAUAAUUUAUUUUGGUUGUGAAUUCAAGUAGUUGUGAAUUUGAGUUUUUAAAGUUUGAAUUCACAAUUAAAACUGUAAUUUAUUUUGAUUGUGAAUUUAUAGAUUUGGUUGUAAAUUCAAGAAUAUUAAGUUGUGAAUUCAUCGAACAUUAAGUUGUGAAUUCAACAACAUAGUUGUGAAUUUAAGAACAUUAAUAAAAUAAUUAUACGGCUAAAUCAAAUUGAUGUACAACACCAAAAUACAACAACUCAAUCUACCAUCAAAAUACAUNUUGAAUUCACAAUUAAAACUGUAAUUUACAACUGAAACAUUAAAUUCUGAACUGAACUGAAACCCUAAACCCUAAACCCUAAACCUAAACCUAAACCCUAGUUGUGAAUUCACAACUGAACUGAAACUGAAACUGAACUGAACUGAACCUGAACCUAAAACUAAACCCUAAACUCUAAAACCUAAACCCUAAACCCUAAACCCAAUCUAAACCCUAAACCUAAACCCUAGUUGUGAAUUGUUACGAUUGUGAAUUCACAACUGAACUGAAACACUAAACUCUAAACCUAAACCCUAGUUGUGAAUUCACAACUGAACUGAAACUGAAACUGAAACUGAACUGAACCUGAACCCUAAACCCUAAACUAAACCCUAAACCCUAAACCCAAUCUAAACCCUAAACCCUAGUUGUGAAUUGUUACGAUUGUGAAUUCACAACUGAACUGAACUGAAACACUAAACCCUAAACCUAAACCCUAGUUGUGAAUUCACAACUGAACUGAAACUGAACUGAACCCUAAACCCUAAAAACUAAACCCUAAACCCUAAACCCUAAAACCUAAACCCUAAACCCAAUCUAAACCCUAAACCCUAAACCCUA